AGAGGGAAGUGGGAUUCCUGGUGUAACGGUGAAAAUGCGUAGAAAUCAAGGAAGAACACCGGUGGCGAAGGCGGCUUCCUGGUCCGAUACUGACGCUGAGGCGCGAAAGCGUGGGGAGCGAACAGGAUUAGAUACCCUGGUAGUCCACGCUGUAAACGAUGGGUACUAGGUGUUGGUCCUUUUUAGGAUCAGCGCCGCAGCUAACGCAUUUAAGUACCCCGCCCUGGGGAAUACGACCGCAAGGUUGAAACUCAAAGGAAUUGACGGGGGCCCGCACAAGCGGUGGAGCAUGUGGUUUAAUUCGAUGCAACGCGAAGAACCUUACCUGGGCUUGAACCGUAGUCGAAAACCCCUGAAAAGGGGUCCUCCUUCGGGACGGCCAUAGAGGUGCUGCAUGGCUGUCGUCAGCUCGUGCCGUGAGGUGUUGGGUUAAGUCCCGCAACGAGCGCAACCCUUGCCCUUAGUUGCCAUCAGGUUAUGCUGGGAACUCUAAGGGGACUGCCCCGGAUAACGGGGAGGAAGGUGGGGAUGACGUCAAGUCCUCAUGGCCCUUACGUCCAGGGCUACACACGUGCUACAAUGGCCGGUACAAUGGGCAGCGAUACCGCAAGGUGGAGCAAAUCCUUAAAACCGGUCUCAGUUCAGAUUGCAGUCUGCAACUCGACUGCAUGAAGUCGGAAUCGCUAGUAAUCGCGGAUCAGCAUGCCGCGGUGACUACGUUCCCGGGUCUUGUACACACCGCCCGUCACGCCAUGGAAGUUGGUAGCACCCGAAGCCGGUGGCCUAUCACGCUUGCGGGAAAGGAGCCGUCGAAGGUGAGACU
This 823-nucleotide ribosomal RNA is filed under the name uncultured organism. Its description in RNAcentral is "bacterial SSU rRNA". It matches the Rfam family "Bacterial small subunit ribosomal RNA", at positions 653 to 1469 of the family's 1533-position model. The record is from RNAcentral.